AGCUCCAAUAGCGUAUAUUUAAGUUGUUGCAGUUAAAAGCUCGUAGUUGGAUUUCGGGCCCAGGUGACCGGUCCGCCGUUUCGGUGUGCACUGGUUAGCUCGGUCUUUCUGCCGGGGACACGCUCCGUCUUAAUUGCCGGACGUGGAGUCGGCGAUGUUACUUUGAAAAAUUAGAGUGUUCAAAGCAGGCUUACGCUCUGAAUACUAUAGCAUGGAAUAACACGAUAGGACUCCGAGCCUAUUUUGUUGGUCUUCGGGACCGGAGUAAUGAUUAAGAGGGACAGUUGGGGGCAUUCGUAUUACGGUGUCAGAGGUGAAAUUCUUGGAUUUCCGUAAGACGAACUUCUGCGAAAGCAUUUGCCAAGGAUGUUUUCA
RNAcentral lists this ribosomal RNA (375 nucleotides) under uncultured eukaryote. RNAcentral's name for it is "SSU rRNA". It matches the Rfam family "Eukaryotic small subunit ribosomal RNA", at positions 587 to 972 of the family's 1831-position model. The record is from RNAcentral.